UAGGGAAUAUUGGGAAAUGGGCGAAAGCCCGACCCAGCAACGCCGCGUGCGCGAAGAAGGCCUUCGGGUUGUAAAGCGCUUUUCAGAGGGAUGAGGAAGGACAGUACCUUUGGAAUAAGUCUCGGCUAACUACGUGCCAGCAGCCGCGGUAACACGUAGGAGACGAGCGUUAUCCGGAUUUACUGGGUGUAAAGCGCGUGUAGGCGGCUGGGUAAGUUGGAUGUGAAAGCUCCUGGCUUAACUGGGAGAG
Molecule: ribosomal RNA, 250 nt
Filed under: uncultured bacterium
Lineage: Bacteria
Description: partial 16S ribosomal RNA
Rfam family: Bacterial small subunit ribosomal RNA
Source: RNAcentral